UCUAGAGUNUCGGAGAGGAAAGUGGAAUUCNUAGUGUAGCGGUGAAAUGCGUAGAUAUUAGGAAGANCACCAGUGGCGAAGGCGACUUUCUGGACGAAAACUGACGCUGAGGCGCGAAAGCCAGGGGAGCGAACGGGNUCAGAUACCCCGGUAGUCCUGGCCGUAAACGAUGGGUACUAGGUGUAGGAGGUAUCGACCCNUUCUGUGCCGGAGUUAACGCAAUAAGUACCCCGCCUGGGGAGUACGACCGCAAGGUUGAAACUCAAAGGAAUUGACGGGGGCCCGCACAAGCGGUGGAGUAUGUGGUUUAAUUCGACGCAACGCGAAGAACCUUACCAGGUCUUGACAUUGAUGGACAGAACCAGAGAUGGUUCCUCUUCUUCGGAAGCCAGAAAACAGGUGGUGCACGGUUGUCGUCAGCUCGUGUCGUGAGAUGUUGGGUUAAGUCCCGCAACGAGCGCAACCCCUAUCUUAUGUUGCCAGCACUUCGGGUGGGAACUCAUGAGAGACUGCCGCAGACAAUGCGGAGGAAGGCGGGGAUGACGUCAAAUCAUCAUGCCCCUUAUGACCUGGGCUACACACGUACUACAAUGGGAGUUAAUAGACGGAAGCGAGAUCGCGAGAUGGAGCAAACCCGAGAAACACUCUCUCAGUUCGGAUCGUAGGCUGCAACUCGCCUACGUGAAGUCGGA
RNAcentral lists this ribosomal RNA (692 nucleotides) under uncultured bacterium. RNAcentral's name for it is "bacterial SSU rRNA". It matches the Rfam family "Bacterial small subunit ribosomal RNA", at positions 640 to 1330 of the family's 1533-position model. The record is from RNAcentral.